GCAUUGAUGGUUCAGUGGUAGAAUACUUGCCUUUCAAGUGGCAGACUUGGGUUUGAUUCCCAGCCACUGCA
Molecule: transfer RNA, 71 nt
Filed under: Loxodonta africana (African savanna elephant)
Lineage: Eukaryota; Metazoa; Chordata; Mammalia; Proboscidea; Elephantidae
Rfam family: tRNA
About the family: Transfer RNA (tRNA) molecules are approximately 80 nucleotides in length.
Source: Rfam by way of RNAcentral